Molecule: ribosomal RNA, 451 nt
Filed under: uncultured bacterium
Lineage: Bacteria
Description: partial 16S ribosomal RNA
Rfam family: Bacterial small subunit ribosomal RNA
Source: RNAcentral
AACGAACGCUGGCGGCAGGCCUAAAACAUGCAAGUCGAACGCUCAUAGCAAUAUGGGAGUGGCGCACGGGUGAGUAACACGUGGGAAUAUGCCUCUUGGUACGGAAUAACUUUUGGAAACGAAAGCUAAUACCGUAUGGUCCCUUCGGGGUAAAGAUUUAUCGCCAAGAGAGUAGCCCGCGUUGGAUUAGCUAGUUGGUGAGGUAAUGGCUCACCAAGGCGACGAUCCAUAGCUGGUCUUAGAGGACGAUCAGCCACACUGGGACUGAGACACGGCCCAGACUCCUACGGGAGGCAGCAGUUAGGAAUAUUGGACAAUGGGCGAAAGCCUGAUCCAGCCAUGCCGCGUGAGUGAUGAAGGCCUUCGGGUUGUAAAGCUCUUUAGUCCACGAUUAUAAUGACUGUAGUGGAAGAAUAAGCCCCGGCUAACUUCGUGCCAGCAGCCGCCGUAA